GGACGCAUAGCUCAGCCGGUUAGAGCGCUCGCCUCACACGCGAGAGGUCAUGGGUUCGAGUCCCCUUGUGUCCACCA
This 77-nucleotide transfer RNA is filed under the name Caproiciproducens galactitolivorans. RNAcentral describes it as "tRNA-Val". It matches the Rfam family "tRNA". Rfam says of the family: Transfer RNA (tRNA) molecules are approximately 80 nucleotides in length. Their secondary structure includes four short double-helical elements and three loops (D, anti-codon, and T loops). Further hydrogen bonds mediate the characteristic L-shaped molecular structure. tRNAs have two regions of fundamental functional importance: the anti-codon, which is responsible for specific mRNA codon recognition, and the 3' end, to which the tRNAs corresponding amino acid is attached (by aminoacyl-tRNA synthetases). tRNAs cope with the degeneracy of the genetic code in two manners: having more than one tRNA (with a specific anti-codon) for a particular amino acid; and 'wobble' base-pairing, i.e. permitting non-standard base-pairing at the 3rd anti-codon position. RNAcentral also lists the same sequence under 2 other names. The record is from RNAcentral. Lineage: Bacteria; Bacillati; Bacillota; Clostridia; Eubacteriales; Acutalibacteraceae.